RNAcentral lists this ribosomal RNA (403 nucleotides) under uncultured bacterium. RNAcentral describes it as "bacterial SSU rRNA". It matches the Rfam family "Bacterial small subunit ribosomal RNA", at positions 355 to 774 of the family's 1533-position model. The record is from RNAcentral.
UAGGGAAUAUUGCAAAAUGGGCGAAAGCCCGAUGCAGCAACGCCGCGUGGGCGAUGAAGGCCUUCGGGUCGUAAAGCCCUUUUUGAGGGGAUGAGGAAGGACAGUACCCUCAGAAUAAGCCUCGGCUAACUACGUGCCAGCAGCCGCGGUAAAACGUAGGAGGCGAGCGUUAUCCGGAUUUACUGGGCGUAAAGCGCACGCAGGCGGCUCUGUUAGUCGGACGUGAAAGCUCUCGGCUUAACCGGGAGAGGCCGUUCGAUACUGCGGGGCUUGAGGUAGGGAGAGGAAUGCGGAAUUCCCGGUGUAGUGGUGGAAUGCGUAGAUAUCGGGAGGAACACCUGUGGCGAAAGCGGCAUUCUGGCCCUCACCUGACGCUGAGGUGCGAAAGCGUGGGUAGCAAACA